Molecule: ribosomal RNA, 487 nt
Filed under: uncultured bacterium
Lineage: Bacteria
Description: bacterial SSU rRNA
Rfam family: Bacterial small subunit ribosomal RNA
Source: RNAcentral
GACGAACGCUGGCGGCGUGCCUAACACAUGCAAGUCAAGGAGAAUUCCCGACUUGUCGGGAUAGUAAACUGGCGAACGGGUGAGUAACACGUAGGUAAUCUGCCCUCGGGAUCGGGAUAACCUCGCGAAAGUGGGGAUAAUACCGAAUAAAGUCUCGGUAUAAUUUGUCGAGAUGAAAGAUGGGGAUCUUCGGACCUAUUACCUGAGGAUGAGCCUGCGCCUGAUUAGCUAGUUGGUAGGGUAAAUGCCUACCAAGGCAACGAUCAGUAGCUGGUCUGAGAGGAUGAUCAGCCACAUUGGGACUGAGAUACGGCCCAGACUCCUACGGGAGGCAGCAGUGAGGAAUUUUGCGCAAUGGGCGAAAGCCUGACGCAGCAACGCCGCGUGACUGAUUAAGCUCUGAGGAGUGUAAAAGUCUGUCGUAGAGGAAGAAACUAUCCGAUAAGAAUAUUGUCGGAUACUGACGGUACUCUAUGAGAAAGCUCGG